RNAcentral lists this ribosomal RNA (444 nucleotides) under uncultured bacterium. RNAcentral's name for it is "bacterial SSU rRNA". It matches the Rfam family "Bacterial small subunit ribosomal RNA", at positions 355 to 796 of the family's 1533-position model. The record is from RNAcentral.
UAAGGAAUAUUGGUCAAUGGGCGGAAGCCUGAACCAGCCAUGCCGCGUGCAGGAAGACGGCCCUACGGGUUGUAAACUGCUUUUGCAGGGGAAUAAACCCCAGUAUGUAUACGGAGUUGAAUGUACCUUGAGAAUAAGGAUCGGCUAACUCCGUGCCAGCAGCCGCGGUAAUACGGAGGAUCCGAGCGUUAUCCGGAUUUAUUGGGUUUAAAGGGUGCGUAGGUGGCCUGUUAAGUCAGGGGUGAAAGACGGUAGCUCAACUAUCGCAGUGCCCUUGAUACUGAUGGGCUUGAAUGAACUAGAGGUAGGCGGAAUGUGACAAGUAGCGGUGAAAUGCAUAGAUAUGUCACAGAACACCAAUUGCGAAGGCAGCUUACUAUGGUUUGAUUGACACUGAGGCACGAAAGCGUGGGGAUCAAACAGGAUUAGAUACCCCUGUAGUCC